Molecule: long non-coding RNA, 515 nt
Organism: Hibiscus syriacus
Lineage: Eukaryota; Viridiplantae; Streptophyta; Magnoliopsida; Malvales; Malvaceae
Exons: 3
Source: RefSeq, a predicted model, not a curated record
CGACGUGUUUUCACAAGUUAAGAUGCUCAUAUUAUGAUUCCCGGUAAGGUCCCAAUGACUGGAGCUAAUAUUAAUCUGCACCGGUUAUUAUGAUUCCCAGUGACUGGCACAAGACCAGAUGAAGAGGUAUGACACUCUUCCCUUGCUGUAUUAUCAGUAACUCACUGACCUAUUUAGCCAAUGUCUGAUUGUUGAACAUUGUACAGACAAUUGGAAGAUUGAUUGCAACCUGAGAUAGCAAACAAAUAUUCCAGAAAGCAAUUCAGGAGCAGAGACGGGGCAAAAUAAUAAACACCGUGUUUGAAAUUCAAGAGCGCCACGAUGAAGUGUGAGAUUUGGAGAAGAUGCUUCUUGAUUUACAGCAGUUGUUCAAUAUGAGCAGAUGCAUGAAAAUACAGAUCACCAUAGGAAUGAAGUUGCAUCGAAGAUCAGAUUUGGGAGAGGACGUAUUUACAGAAUACAUUAUCAGUAAUUUUCCUCGUGCAGGUACUUGUGGAUAUGGAGGUUUUGGUCGA